AGUAGUUUGAUCAGUGGCUCGAGGACGACGCUGGCGGCGCGCCUAACACAUGCAAGUCGAACGGGAUUGUUUACAAUCCAGUGGCGGACGGGUGAGUAAUGCAUGAGUAAUCUGCCUGAAAGAGGGGGAUAGCUUCUGGAAACAGAAGAUAAUACCGCAUAUUUCAAAAUUUCCGCAUGGUUUUUUGGCAAAGGAGCAAUCCACUUUCAGAUGAGCUCAUGUCCGAUUAGCUAGUUGGUAGGGUAAAUGCCUACCAAGGCAACGAUCGGUAGCCGUACUGAGAGGUUCUACGGCCACAUUGGGACUGAGACACGGCCCAGACUCC
RNAcentral lists this ribosomal RNA (325 nucleotides) under uncultured Synergistales bacterium. RNAcentral's name for it is "bacterial SSU rRNA". It matches the Rfam family "Bacterial small subunit ribosomal RNA", at positions 1 to 339 of the family's 1533-position model. Lineage: Bacteria; Thermotogati; Synergistota; Synergistia; Synergistales. The record is from RNAcentral.